AGUGCAGUGGCAUGAUCUCGGCUCACUGUAACCUCCGCCUCCUGGGUUCAAGCAAUUCUCCUGCCUCAGCCUCCCGAGUAGCUGGGACUACAGGUGCACACCACUACACCCGGCUAAUUUUUAUAUUUUUAGUGGAGAUGGGGUUUCGCCGUGUUGGCCAGGCUGGUCUCGAACUCCUGACCUCAAGUGAUCCACCUGCCUUGGCCUCCCACAGUCCUGGGAUUACAGGUGUGACCCACCACACCCAGCCCUCCCUGCUUUUCUUUUCUUUUUGUUUUAAAUUUAUUAUCUUUCUGUCCUGCCUGUUGGUUGGGUGACUGGAGCCUGGAGUUCCCUAAAGGAAAAUUUUAGAAGGGAAACAUUCUAAUCUGUAGAAAAUCUUCAAAUUCCUAAGCAAACAAGAGCAAAAGAUCUCAAAGUAAACAGGCCAGCAGACGGAGAGUCUUCUUUAAUGCACUUUGAUUUCCUCCAAGAAGUUACAGAUUGUGUGGGGACAGGUAGGACUAAGAGUGCCUAGAGAAAGGGGAAGUGAUAUGAGGGGGAAAUAAUAUAUCACAUCAGCAACUUCCUUGAAUUCAGUUCCUUGAUUCCUUCUGCCUGCCUUAUCCAUCAGGAUACAUUUCCUGUAGCGGCCACGUGUACCAAGUCCUUCCAGAAAGUAAGGAUUUUUCUUUAAAGAGGGAACAAACUAGUCUGAGCAAUCUGAAGACCUUCCCCUGGGGCCUGGAAAUUCAGAAGGCUGGGAGCUUGGGUGGAUUUGCAUGGAAAGUUCAGUUGCUACUGGAAGUGAUUAAGUGGUGACAGAAUUGAGUCUGUCAGAUGGGUCUUCCUUCCCCAAGACUUCCCACCCCCGUACCCACCCACUCCCCCACCCCCAGCUUUCUGCCAGAUUUUCAUUAACUUGCCUUAAGUGUAGCUGAAAUUUCAUUUGGCAAGAAAAGUCUGAGUUGUGGAACUCCAGUCUGAAACAUGCCCAAGAAACAUUCCCCAACCUCUGGUGCCUGGACAAGAAUAUCCUAGGCUGUUUCCCCAUUGAAAGAGAGCAUUACAGAAACUGAAACUGGACCUCACCUGUGUUUCCCUCCUAGAGAAGUACGACUCUCCAACCCAUUCCUUCAUUUGCAUCAAAAAGAACUAUUCUCCAGGCCUCCUGCCAAGGGCAGGAAUAAGAGGAAUAAGUCAUGGCCUCUGCCCCUAAGAGCUCCUUGCUUAGGUGGAGAGGGAGACAGACAACUGCAUGGAAAGGCGUGAUGAGAUGAAAGCCCAUAGCACGGGAGCUGAGCCCAGGCACCAGCGCGGAGUGCAGGUGGGAGAGACGGGACCCGAGCUCAUAUUCCAGUUAGCUAUUUACCUGCCAGUACUAUAUUAUCUUAUCCCAUGCCCCAAGUGACUGUGGCAGGCACCCUUUUCACAGGGGGCAGGAAGUAUGACCCAGCAUCAGCCAAUCUGAGUCAUUGACAAGUAGGACUGGACUCUGAACACUGACAUGAAAAUAGGGCCAAGGCCCACAAACCGGCCAGCAAUCCAGGUAAGUGUGACCAGGUGCGGGGGCUCAUGCCUAUAAUCCCAGCACUUUGAGAAGCUGAGGCAGGAGGAUCAUUUGAGCCCAGGAGGUCAAGACCAGCCUGGGAAAUAUAGGGAGAGCCCAUCUCUACAAAAAAAAAUACAUUAAGGCCAGGCACGGUGGCUCACACCUGUAAUCCCAGCACUUUGGGAGGCUGAGACAGGCGGAUCACCAGAGGUCAGGAGUUUGAGAUCAGCCUGGCCAACAUGGUGAAACCCCAUCUCUACUAAAAAUACAAAAAGUAGCCAGGCCUGGUGGUACGUGCCUGUAAUCCCAGCUACUUGGGAGACUGAGGCAGGAGAAUCACUUGAAUCCAGAAGGCAGAGGUUGCAGUGAGUGGAGAUCGUGCCAUUGCACUCCAGCCUGGGCAACAAGAGUGAAACUCUGUCUCAAAAAACAAAAAAGAAAGAAAGAAAGAAAGUCAGCCUGGGUCACACAGCCAGUAAAUGGCAGAGCCAGGCUCUAGGUAUAUAUUCCUAACCUGGGGAUAAAGCAGCUUCCAGGCCAGGCACACUGGCUCACUCCUGUUAUCCGAGCACUUUGGAAGUCUGAGGUGUGCAGACUGCUUGAGCCCAGGAGUUCGAGACCAGCCUGGACAACACAGUGAAACCCCAUCUCUGCAAAAAUACAAAAAAUUAGCUGGGAGUGGUGGUGCGCACCUGCAGUCCCAGCUUUCAUGCACGUCCGUGUGAAGAGACCACCAAACAGGCUUUGUGUGAGCAAAAUGGCUGUUUAUUUCACCUGGGUGCAGGCGGGCUGAGUCCGAAAAGAGAGUCAGCGAAGGGAGAUAGGGGUGGGGCCGUUUUAUAGGAUUUGGGAAGGUAAUGGAAAAUUACAGUCAAAGGGGGUUGUUCUCUGGUGGGCAGGGGUGGAUCUCACAAAGUACAUUCUCAAGGGUGGGGAGAAUUACAAAGAACCUUCUUAAGGGUGGGGGAGACUACAAAGUACCUUCUUAAGGGUGGGGGAGAUUACAAAGUACAUUGAUCAGUUAGGGUGGGGCAGGAACAAAUCACAAUGGUGGAAUGUCAUCAGUUGAGGCUGUUUUUACUUCUUUUGUGGAUCUUCAGUUACUUCAGGCCAUCUGGAUGUAUACGUGCAAGUCACAGGGGAUGCGACGGCCUGGCCUGGGCUCAGAGGCCUGACACCAGCUACUCAGGAGGCUGAGGCGGCCUUCCCACCUCCGUCAUUGAGAGGCAAUUUCCCAAGGCAGGACCUUGCCACGUGGCCCACUGUAUGUUUCCUAGCUACUGGACAGCUGGCUCUAUAGACUCUUCCGUGUACAUAAAUUCAGUCAUUCUUUUCUCAAAACACAGAGUAAACCUCUGGUUUGAAAGAGAGACUCAAGCCUUGGACACACAAAUAUCCUGCAAUCUACAAGUCAAACGGGAGUGGAAGCUUUCAUUUCUUAGAGGCUAGAACCGGGAAUAACAGUACCCCCAGCAGACUGACCAUGAAGGGUUCUGUCUGUGUGUGCACAACUUCCCAGGCCUGAAAUGUGUGCAGCAAGGAUGUCCUCAAGGGGCUCUUGUGCACGUUGCCCUCUACCCAUGGUCCCCACAGCGGGACCAGCUCCACACACAGGGAAGAAUGGAAAGGACACCCAGAGCCAACCUGGCCCUGGGACCUCCCCUCCUGGCUUUCACGGCUCCUCAGAUUGGGUCAGUCACACCGAAAGGACUUUCUGGAAGGAGCGCACCAGAAUUUCUGUUCUGGGAAGAUGGUGGAAGGCAGAGCUGAGUUCAUUGCUUAUGGAGGGGAGAGAAUAGCCCCUGCACAGAGCCUCCAUCGCGGCUGCCAGGGGAAGUGGAGAGGCUAGGAUCUCACUGAGAAUUUCAAGAUUGGUUUAAGGAGGGCCUUUCAAUGCAGGGGCUUGCUUGGGAUUGGGGGAGAUAAUGAUACAGUAGUUUCAGGUUGGUGGCAACAGCUAGGCGAGGGGUUUGAAAUGUCUUAGGUGUGAAAUGUCUGUUGAUGCUUCUAUUAAAUAAAGCUCGCCUAUUGAAGAGUUGAUGGGCCUCUUGGGAAAUUCCUGUAAUAAACAAUGAAGUUAUUUGCCUGGGCAAGAGACUCUUGGAAUAGUAAAGUUAUUGUACCAAAGACAGUGGGAGAAAAAAAGUCAUGUUAAUGCAGACAAUAAACUUGGAGGUGGAAGGGGAUAGUUUCUGCCUCAAUCUGACUAGUCAUUAGGCCUAAAGACCUGAGGGCUAGGACACAUGUCAAGUAUCUUUCAACACAUUUAAAAAGUUAAAAAUUCAGGAAAUGGACCCACGACAAUGUUGGAGGUCUGCUAAGCAGGACAGGGAGCAUGGAGGAGGGGUGCAUUAAAAAACAAGCCUCGGGCCAGUCUGGGUGGCUCACGCCUGUAAUCCCAGUGCUUUGGGAGGGCG
Molecule: long non-coding RNA, 3948 nt
Filed under: Homo sapiens (human)
Lineage: Eukaryota; Metazoa; Chordata; Mammalia; Primates; Hominidae
Description: HSALNT0376366
Source: RNAcentral